Molecule: ribosomal RNA, 471 nt
Filed under: Bacillus cereus
Lineage: Bacteria; Bacillati; Bacillota; Bacilli; Caryophanales; Bacillaceae
Description: bacterial SSU rRNA
Rfam family: Bacterial small subunit ribosomal RNA
Source: RNAcentral
UCCGCCUGGGGAGUACGGCCGCAAGGCUGAAACUCAAAGGAAUUGACGGGGGCCCGCACAAGCGGUGGAGCAUGUGGUUUAAUUCGAAGCAACGCGAAGAACCUUACCAGGUCUUGACAUCCUCUGAAAACCCUAGAGAUAGGGCUUCUCCUUCGGGAGCAGAGUGACAGGUGGUGCAUGGUUGUCGUCAGCUCGUGUCGUGAGAUGUUGGGUUAAGUCCCGCAACGAGCGCAACCCUUGAUCUUAGUUGCCAUCAUUAAGUUGGGCACUCUAAGGUGACUGCCGGUGACAAACCGGAGGAAGGUGGGGAUGACGUCAAAUCAUCAUGCCCCUUAUGACCUGGGCUACACACGUGCUACAAUGGACGGUACAAAGAGCUGCAAGACCGCGAGGUGGAGCUAAUCUCAUAAAACCGUUCUCAGUUCGGAUUGUAGGCUGCAACUCGCCUACAUGAAGCCUGGAAUCGCUAGU